RNAcentral lists this ribosomal RNA (254 nucleotides) under uncultured bacterium. RNAcentral describes it as "partial 16S ribosomal RNA". It matches the Rfam family "Bacterial small subunit ribosomal RNA", at positions 524 to 776 of the family's 1533-position model. The record is from RNAcentral.
UACGAAGGGGGGCUAGCGUUGUUCGGAAUUACUGGGCGUAAAGCGAACGUAGGCGGUGUUCCAUGUCAGAGGUGAAAGCCUGGGGCUCAACUCCAGAAUUGCUUUUGAAACGGGGACGCUUGAGUCCGAGAGAGGGUGGCGGAAUUCCUAGUGUAGAGGUGAAAUUCGUAGAUAUUAGGAAGAACACCAGUGGCGAAGGCGGCCACCUGGCUCGGUACUGACGCUCAGGUUCGAAAGCGUGGGGAGCAAACAGG